RNAcentral lists this ribosomal RNA (383 nucleotides) under uncultured eukaryote. Its description in RNAcentral is "SSU rRNA". It matches the Rfam family "Eukaryotic small subunit ribosomal RNA", at positions 587 to 972 of the family's 1831-position model. The record is from RNAcentral.
AGCUCCAAUCGCGUAUCUUAAAGUUGUUGCGGUUAAAAAGCUCGUAGUUGGAUUUCUGGUGAGGACGACCGAUCCGCCCUCUGGGUGAGUAUCUGGCUUAGCCUUGGCAUCUUCUUGGAGAACGUAUCUGCACUUGACUGUGUGGUGCGGUAUCCAAGACUUUUACUUUGAGGAAAUGAGAGUGCUUCAAGCAGGCACACGCCUUGAAUACAUUAGCAUGGAAUAAUAAGAUAGGACCUUGGUUCUAUUUUGUUGGUUUCUAGACCUGAGGUGAUGAUUAAUAGGGAUCGUUGGGGGGGCAUUCGUAUUUAAUUGUCAGGGGUUAAAUUCUUGGAUUUAUUAAAGACGGACUACUGCGAAAGCAUUUGCCAAGGAUGUUUUCA